Molecule: antisense RNA, 97 nt
Filed under: uncultured Aliivibrio sp.
Lineage: Bacteria; Pseudomonadati; Pseudomonadota; Gammaproteobacteria; Vibrionales; Vibrionaceae
Description: Vibrio RNA AS9
Rfam family: Vibrio RNA AS9
About the family: Identified by direct cloning an parallel sequencing experiments with 5S/tRNA depletion.
Source: RNAcentral
ACAGCGAUCUUUUGUCAUUGUUAAACAAAUUAAACCACGACCAUGUGUUGCCAUGAAAUUGAUCGCUUCUGGUGUGAUUUUUUCUGCUGCAAUGAUU